This is a long non-coding RNA of Gasterosteus aculeatus aculeatus (three-spined stickleback), 1535 nucleotides long. The record is from Ensembl. NCBI's taxonomy places the organism in Eukaryota, Metazoa, Chordata, Actinopteri, Perciformes, Gasterosteidae.
GGCAAACACAGGUCUUCUUUCUUCCCUUAUCACAUAUAAUGAUCUUUGUAAUAAAUCAUUCCUUUGAAUAUUUCUUUAAUAUUUUCAUGAAUAUUAUCUGAUUCUUUUCUGAUUAUUUUUUGGAUGAUAUUUUGAAUUUUUUUUUUCACCAACCAUCAUCCCACUGGUUCCCUAUGAAGAUCACUCCAUUUGUUUUCCUGGCAAGAUAGUAGAAAGCAAGAUAUGUGGCAAACACAGGUUUCCUUCCCCCCUUAUCACAUUUGAUAAUCUUUGUAAUCAAUCAUUCCUUUGAAUAUUUCUUGAAUAUUUUCAUGAAUAUUUUCGUGAAUAUUUUUGGAUAUUUUUUUGAAUAUUUUUUGAAUAUUUUUUGAAUAUUCUUUGAAUAUUUUUUGAAUAUUUUUUGAAUAUUUUUUGAAUAUUUUUUGAAUAUUUUUUGAAUAUUCUUUGAAUAUUUUUUAUUUCACCAACCAUCAUCACACUGGUUCCCUAUGAAGAUCACUCCUUUUGUUUUCCUGGUAAUAUUGUAGAACGCAAGAUAUGUGGCAAACACAGGUUUCCUUCCCCCCUCAUCACAUUUGAUAAUCUUUGUAAUCAAUUAUUCCUUUGAAUAUUUCUUGAAUAUUUUCAUGAAUAUUUUCGUGAGUAUUUCCGUGAAUAUUUUUUGAUUAUUUUUUAUUUCACCAACCAUCAUCACACUGGUUCCCUAUGAAGAUCACUCCUUUUGUUUUCCUGGCAAUAUUGUAGAAACGCAAGAUAUGUAGCAAACACAUGUUUCUUUCCCCCCUUAUCACAUUUGAUAAUCUUUGUAAUCAAUCAUUCCUUUGUAUAUUUCUUGAAUAUUUUCAUGAAUAUUUCCGUGAAUAUUUCUGUGAAUAUUUUUUGAUUAUUUUUUGAAUAUUUUUUAUUUCACCAACCAUCAUCACACUGGUUCCCUAUGAAGAUCACUCCUUUUGUUUUCCUGGCAAUAUUGUAGAACGCAAGAUAUGUGGCAAACACAUGUUUCUUUCCCCCCUUAUCACAUUUGAUAAUCAUUGUAAUCAAUCAUUCCUUUGAUUAUUUCUUGAAUAUUUCCGUGAAUAUUUUCGUGAAUAUUUCCGUGAAUAUUUUUUGAUUAUUUUUUUGAUUAUUUUUUGAUUCUUUUUUAUUUCACCAACCAUCAUCACACUGGUUCCCUAGGAAGAUCACUUCUUUUGUUUUCCUGGCAAUAUUGUAGAACGCAAGAUAUGUGGCAAACACAGGUUUCCUCCCCCCCUUAUCACAUUUGAUAAUCUUUGUAAUCAAUCAUUCCUUUGAAUAUUUCUUGAAUAUUUUCGUGAAUAUUUCCGUGAAUAUUUUUUGAUUAUUUUUUUGAUUAUUUUUUGAAUAUUUUUUAUUUCGCCAACCAUCAUCACACUGGUUCCCUAUGAAGAUCACUCCUUUUGUUUUCCCGGCAAUUUUGUAGAACGCAAGAUAUGUGGCAAACACAGGUUUCCUUCCCCCCUUAUCAUAUUUGAUAAUCUUGGUAAACAAUCAUUCCUUUAAAUAUUUAAAGAAUA